Molecule: RNase P RNA, 299 nt
Filed under: Lysobacteraceae bacterium
Lineage: Bacteria; Pseudomonadati; Pseudomonadota; Gammaproteobacteria; Lysobacterales; Lysobacteraceae
Description: partial RNase P RNA component class A
Rfam family: Bacterial RNase P class A
About the family: Ribonuclease P (RNase P) is a ubiquitous endoribonuclease, found in archaea, bacteria and eukarya as well as chloroplasts and mitochondria. Its best characterised activity is the generation of mature 5'-ends of tRNAs by cleaving the 5'-leader elements of precursor-tRNAs. Cellular RNase Ps are ribonucleoproteins.
Source: RNAcentral
GGAGUCGGCCGGACAGUCGCGUCGUUCGCAAGAACGCCGAGGAAAGUCCGGGCUUCGAAGGGCAGGGUGCCAGGUAACGCCUGGGCGGCGCGAGCCGACGGACAGUGCAACAGAGAGCAGACCGCCGAUGGCCCCGCAAGGGGAUCAGGCAAGGGUGAAACGGUGGGGCAAGAGCCCACCGCGAGUCUGGCAACAGACCGGCACGGCAAACCCCACCCGAAGCAAGACCAAAUAGGGGAACGAUGGCGUGGCCCGCGCCGUUCCCGGGUUGGUCGCUCGAGCCCGCCGGCGACGGCGGG